AUGUCUUUGUCGUCGUUUUGUGCCGUGAGUGGCACGCGGGAGUGCGGGUUUGUCCCGUGCAUCGAUCGCGCCCAUCCGCCGUGGCUUUUGGUCGCCGGUGUUUCCUCCGACGAGCUCGCCCGCUGUCCUGCUCGCACGCACCGUUAUGUUCCUCUGUUCUCGCACAUGCCCGCUGGCUGCAUUGCUCUUGCCGCCCUUGCUGCACCUUCGCUGCCACCCCUCCAUGCACACGCGCACCCUCACCUAUUUCCGCACCCCCGCCGGCGCUUGGUAGCUGCAGCACGCGCCGUCUGUUGUUACUGUCGCCGGUGA
Molecule: ribosomal RNA, 312 nt
Filed under: Triticum aestivum (bread wheat)
Lineage: Eukaryota; Viridiplantae; Streptophyta; Magnoliopsida; Poales; Poaceae
Description: partial small subunit ribosomal RNA
Source: RNAcentral